This 496-nucleotide ribosomal RNA is filed under the name uncultured bacterium. RNAcentral's name for it is "bacterial SSU rRNA". It matches the Rfam family "Bacterial small subunit ribosomal RNA", at positions 29 to 526 of the family's 1533-position model. The record is from RNAcentral.
AUUGAACGCUGGCGGCAUGCCUUACACAUGCAAGUCGAACGGUAACGCGGGGCAACCUGGCGACGAGUGGCGAACGGGUGAGUAAUAUAUCGGAACGUGCCCAAUAGUGGGGGAUAGCCCGGCGAAAGCCGGAUUAAUACCGCAUACGACCUGAGGGUGAAAGCGGGGGAUCGCAAGACCUCGCGCUAUUGGAGCGGCCGAUAUCAGAUUAGGUAGUUGGUGGGGUAAAGGCCUACCAAGCCUACGAUCUGUAGCUGGUCUGAGAGGACGACCAGCCACACUGGGACUGAGACACGGCCCAGACUCCUACGGGAGGCAGCAGUGGGGAAUUUUGGACAAUGGGCGCAAGCCUGAUCCAGCCAUGCCGCGUGCGGGACGAAGGAGCUUUGCUCUGUAAACCACUGUCGGGAGGGAAGAAAAGCAGCUUUGAGCUGCCGGGACUGUACCUCCGGAGGAAGGAUCGGCUAACUACGUGCCAGCAGCCGCGGUAAAUGAC